RNAcentral lists this transfer RNA (74 nucleotides) under Clostridiales bacterium GWE2_32_10. RNAcentral describes it as "tRNA-Arg". It matches the Rfam family "tRNA". Rfam says of the family: Transfer RNA (tRNA) molecules are approximately 80 nucleotides in length. Their secondary structure includes four short double-helical elements and three loops (D, anti-codon, and T loops). Lineage: Bacteria; Bacillati; Bacillota; Clostridia; Eubacteriales. The record is from RNAcentral.
GUACCGUUAGCUCAAUUGGAUAGAGUACUCGGCUACGAACCGGGCGGUUGGGGGUUCAAAUCCCUUACGGUGCA